RNAcentral lists this ribosomal RNA (392 nucleotides) under uncultured microorganism. RNAcentral's name for it is "bacterial SSU rRNA". It matches the Rfam family "Archaeal small subunit ribosomal RNA", at positions 330 to 731 of the family's 1478-position model. The record is from RNAcentral.
GUGCAGCAGGCGAGAAACUUUACAAUGUGCGAAAGCACGAUAAGGAACUCUGAGUGCCUCCUAAGGAGGCUGUUCAGGUGUCUAAAAGCACCUGGAGUAAGGGCUGGGUAAGACCGGUGCCAGCCGCCGCGGUAACACCGGCAGCCCAGGUGGUAGCCACUUUUAUUGGGUCUAAAGCGUCCGUAGCCGGUUGAGUAAGUUCCUUGGGAAAUUUGGCUGCUCAACAGUCAAGCUUCCAGGGAAUACUGCUCGACUUGGGACUGGGAGAGGUCAGAGGUACUCCAGGGGUAGGGUGAAAUCCAUUAAUCCCUGGGGGACCACCGGUAGCGAAGGCGUCUGACCAGACCAGGUCCGACGGUGAGGGACGAAGGCUAGGGUCGCGAACCGGAUUA